UUUUGGAAGAGUCCCUAUUCUGUACAGCCACGCACUGAGGCAAGAGCACAAGGAAACAAGCAGAAGGAAUUCAGAGAAACAGCUCCAGGCUCCAGCUCAAAGGCCGACACCAAAAGCGAACACCUCUGGGCGCUCUUGCCUUCAAGAAGGUGGGGAGGCUCACAGACGCAGCAUCCACCCCUCGCAGGGAACCUCAGUUCCUGGCCUGUGGUCCCAUGAAGGACAUCAGGCUGGCAGAUUGGAGCACACCCCUUCUUUCUAACCCCUCUUGAAAGCUUCC
Long non-coding RNA from Homo sapiens (human), 280 nucleotides. NCBI's taxonomy places the organism in Eukaryota, Metazoa, Chordata, Mammalia, Primates, Hominidae. The record is from Ensembl.